Molecule: long non-coding RNA, 358 nt
Organism: Quercus robur (English oak)
Lineage: Eukaryota; Viridiplantae; Streptophyta; Magnoliopsida; Fagales; Fagaceae
Exons: 3
Source: RefSeq, a predicted model, not a curated record
ACAGAUGUUUUCCCACCUGAGUGCGUCGUUUCUAAUGUGGAUAAUGGCUUCAAGAAGAAGUGGAGAGGUGACUAUCAACUAUCAUCCACAUUUGCAACAAAACUCAAUGUCAAUCUUGACAUUCCAGAAAUCACAGAAAUUAAAAACAACAAUGGAUGGCAGUCAGACUUUGUGUGUUAAAAUCCACUCAAGCUAUCUUCGAACUUCUGGAUAUUUGUAAGAGACAUUGGAGUCAUGCUGAGUUUGUGAAUUAGUUUGUAUAUGCUCUUGAUGAGAAGUCCUGCAAAAUUUGUACUGCAAAUUGUACUUUGGCAUUAAAUUUCUUAGAAAGAUUUAAUGGGUUCAACGAAAUACUUGA